RNAcentral lists this ribosomal RNA (536 nucleotides) under uncultured archaeon. RNAcentral's name for it is "bacterial SSU rRNA". It matches the Rfam family "Bacterial small subunit ribosomal RNA", at positions 392 to 949 of the family's 1533-position model. The record is from RNAcentral.
UGAUGCCGCGUGAGUGAAGAAGGCCUUUGGGUUGUAAGCUCUUUUGUAGGGGAAGAUAAUGACUGUACCCUAAGAAUAAGGUCCGGCUAACUUCGUGCCAGCAGCCGCGGUAAUACGAAGGGACCUAGCGUAGUUCGGAAUUACUGGGCGUAAAGCGCGCGUAGGCCGUUGAGUUAGUUAAUUGUGAAAUCCCAAAGCUUAACUUUGGAACUGCGAUUAAAACUGCUCGACUAGAGUUUGAUAGAGGAAAGCGGAAUACAUAGUGUAGAGGUGAAAUUCGUAGAUAUUAUGUAGAACACCAGUUGCGAAAGCGGCUUUCUGGGUCAACACUGACGCUGAGGCGCGAAAGUAUGGGUAGCAAAGAGGAUUAGAUACCCUCGUAGUCCAUACCAUAAACGAUGAUUGCUAGAUGUUGGAAAUAUAUUUUCAGUAUCGCAGCUAACGCAUUAAGCAAUCCGCCUGGGGAGUACGACCGCAAGGUUAAAACUCCAAUGAAUUGACGGGGACCCGGACAAGCGGUGGAGCAUGUGGGUAUA